This 233-nucleotide long non-coding RNA is filed under the name Monodelphis domestica (gray short-tailed opossum). Its description in RNAcentral is "lncRNA (ENSMODG00000049346.1)". Lineage: Eukaryota; Metazoa; Chordata; Mammalia; Didelphimorphia; Didelphidae. The record is from RNAcentral.
UAGUAGCCUUCAACCCGUGGCUCUAGACAUCCUGCACCCUCUUCAGAUCAACAAGUCUAUAUUGAUUUGCACUUUGCGACCAUCCUUGUGUUGUCUUAACAGCUCACAUUUAUCUAGUGAGAUUGAUAUUUGUUUUGUUUUUUAGAUCCUCACAACAAAUUUUCAUGGAAGGGAGAAUGCUGAACUUGGUGCCAAAAGAGCUGAAUAUGAACCGUGGCUAUGCUAUUUGUUAC